Molecule: ribosomal RNA, 460 nt
Filed under: uncultured bacterium
Lineage: Bacteria
Description: partial 16S ribosomal RNA
Rfam family: Bacterial small subunit ribosomal RNA
Source: RNAcentral
CCUACGGGAGGCAGCAGUGAGGAAUAUUGGUCAAUGGACGAGAGUCUGAACCAGCCAAGUAGCGUGAAGGAUGACUGCCCUAUGGGUUGUAAACUUCUUUUAUAUGGGAAUAAAAUGUUCCACGUGUGGGAUUUUGUAUGUACCAUAUGAAUAAGGAUCGGCUAACUCCGUGCCAGCAGCCGCAGUAAUACGGAGGAUCCGAGCGUUAUCCGGAUUUAUUGGGUUUAAAGGGAGCGUAGGUGGAUUGUUAAGUCAGUUGUGAAAGUUUGCGGCUCAACCGUAAAAUUGCAGUUGAAACUGGCAGUCUUGAGUACAGUAGAGGUGGGCGGAAUGCGUGGUGUAGCAGUGAAAUGCUUAGAUAUCACGAAGAACUCCGAUUGCGAAGGCAGCUCACUGGACUGCAACUGACGCUCAUGCACGAAAGCGUGGGUAUCGAACAGGAUUAGAUACCCGGGUAGUC